AUUGAACGCUGGCGGCAGGCCUAACACAUGAAGUCGAGCGGAUGAAGGGAGCUUGCUCCUGGAUUCAGCGGCGGACGGGUGAGUAAUGCCUAGGAAUCUGCCUGGUAGUGGGGGAUAACGUCCGGAAACGGGCGCUAAUACCGCAUACGUCCUGAGGGAGAAAGUGGGGGAUCUUCGGACCUCACGCUCUCAGAUGAGCCUAGGUCGGAUUAGCUAGUUGGUGGGGUAAAGGCCUACCAAGGCGACGAUCCGUAACCGGUCUGAGAGGAUGAUCAGUCACACUGGAACUGAGACACGGUCCAGACUCCUACGGGAGGCAGCAGUGGGGAAUAUUGGACAAUGGGCGAAAACCUGAUCCAGCCAUGCCGCGUGUGUGAAGAAGGUCUUCGGAUUGUAAAGCACUUUAAGUUGGGAGGAAGGGCAGUAAGUUAAUACCUUGCUGUUUUGACGUUACCAACAGAAUAAGCACCGGCUAACUUCGUG
Molecule: ribosomal RNA, 483 nt
Filed under: uncultured bacterium
Lineage: Bacteria
Description: partial 16S ribosomal RNA
Rfam family: Bacterial small subunit ribosomal RNA
Source: RNAcentral